UACAGAGGUCUCAAGCGUUGUUCGGAUUCAUUGGGCGUAAAGGGUGUGUAGGUGGCGCGCUAAGUCGGGUGUGAAAUUUCGGAGCUUAACUCCGAAACUGCAUUCGAUACUGCGGUGCUUGAGGACUGGAGAGGAGACUGGAAUUCAUGGUGUAGCAGUGAAAUGCGUAGAGAUCAUGAGGAAGACCAGUGGCGAAGGCGGGUCUCUGGACAGUUCCUGACGCUGAGGCACGAAGGUCAGGGGAGCAAACGGG
Molecule: ribosomal RNA, 253 nt
Filed under: uncultured bacterium
Lineage: Bacteria
Description: partial 16S ribosomal RNA
Rfam family: Bacterial small subunit ribosomal RNA
Source: RNAcentral